GCAGGUAUGGCGGAAUUGGCAGACGCGUAUGGUUCAGGUCCAUAUGAGCGCAAGUUCAUGCAGGUUCAAGUCCUGUUACCUGCACCA
Molecule: transfer RNA, 87 nt
Filed under: Acutalibacter sp.
Lineage: Bacteria; Bacillati; Bacillota; Clostridia; Eubacteriales; Acutalibacteraceae
Also listed under: 7 other names
Description: tRNA-Leu
Rfam family: tRNA
About the family: Transfer RNA (tRNA) molecules are approximately 80 nucleotides in length. Their secondary structure includes four short double-helical elements and three loops (D, anti-codon, and T loops). Further hydrogen bonds mediate the characteristic L-shaped molecular structure. tRNAs have two regions of fundamental functional importance: the anti-codon, which is responsible for specific mRNA codon recognition, and the 3' end, to which the tRNAs corresponding amino acid is attached (by aminoacyl-tRNA synthetases). tRNAs cope with the degeneracy of the genetic code in two manners: having more than one tRNA (with a specific anti-codon) for a particular amino acid; and 'wobble' base-pairing, i.e. permitting non-standard base-pairing at the 3rd anti-codon position.
Source: RNAcentral